RNAcentral lists this ribosomal RNA (424 nucleotides) under uncultured bacterium. RNAcentral describes it as "bacterial SSU rRNA". It matches the Rfam family "Bacterial small subunit ribosomal RNA", at positions 358 to 774 of the family's 1533-position model. The record is from RNAcentral.
GGAGUAUUGGACAAUGGGGGCAACCCUGAUCCAGCCAUGCCGCGUGAGUGAAGAAGGCCCUCGGGUUGUAAAGCUCUUUUGUCCGGAAAGAAAAGCUUCGGGUUAAUACCCCGGGGUUCUGACGGUACCGGAAGAAUAAGCACCGGCUAACUUCGUGCCAGCAGCCGCGGUAAUACGAAGGGUGCAAGCGUUACUCGGAAUUACUGGGCGUAAAGCGUGCGUAGGCGGUCUGUUAAGUCUGCUGUGAAAUCCCCGGGCUCAACCUGGGAAUGGCAGUGGAAACUGGCGGGCUAGAGUACGGUAGAGGAUGGUGGAAUUCCCGGUGUAGCGGUGAAAUGCGUAGAGAUCGGGAGGAACACCAGUGGCGAAGGCGGCCAUCUGGACCAGUACUGACGCUGAGGCACGAAAGCGUGGGGAGCAAACA